CAGUCGCCGCGGUAAUACGUAGGGUGCGAGCGUUGUCCGGAAUUACUGGGCGUAAAGAGCUCGUAGGUGGUUUGUCGCGUCGUUUGUGUAAGUCCACAGCUUAACUGUGGGACUGCAGGCGAUACGGGCAUAACUUGAGUGCUGUAGGGGAGACUGGAAUUCCUGGUGUAGCGGUGAAAUGCGCAGAUAUCAGGAGGAACACCGAUGGCGAAGGCAGGUCUCUGGGCAGUAACUGACGCUGAGGAGUGAAAGCAUGGGUAGCGAACAGGAUUAGAUACCCCGGUAGUCCCUGUCUCUUAUA
This 301-nucleotide ribosomal RNA is filed under the name uncultured bacterium. RNAcentral's name for it is "partial 16S ribosomal RNA". It matches the Rfam family "Bacterial small subunit ribosomal RNA", at positions 509 to 808 of the family's 1533-position model. The record is from RNAcentral.